AUACUGCUGGCUUUGGGACCGGAGGAGGCCGAGGGGUAUCCCUUGGGGUAGGGGGUGAAUUCUAAUAAUCCCCAGGGGACCCGCCAGUGCCGAAGCCGCCCGGCUGAACGGGUUCGGCCGUUGAGGGACGAAGCCCAGGGAACCGACCCGGUUAAGUUACCCGGGUAUUCCUGCUGGUAAAGGAUCCGGCUUAGUUGUCGGGCGAGCUUGGAGCUCGCCCGGUGCCGAGGGAAGCCGCUAAGCCCGCCGCCUGGGGAGUACGGCCGCAAGGCUGAAACUUAAAGGAAUUGGCGGGGGAGCACUACAAGGGGUGGAGCGUGCGGUUUAAUUGGAUUCAACGCCGGGAACCUCACCGGGGGCGACGGCAGGAUGAAGGCCAGGCUGAAGGUCUUGCCGGACGCGCCGAGAGGAGGUGCAUGGCCGCCGUCAGCUCGUACCGUGAGGCGUCCACUUAAGUGUGGUAACGAGCGAGACCCGCGCCCCCAGUUGCCAGUCCUCCCCGCUGGGGAGGAGGCACUCUGGGGGGACCGCCGGCGAUAAGCCGGAGGAAGGAGCGGGCGACGGUAGGUCAGUAUGCCCCGAAACCCCCGGGCUACACGCGCGCUACAAUGGGCGGGACAAUGGGAACCGACCCCGAAAGGGGAAGGGAAUCCCCUAAACCCGCCCCCAGUUCGGAUUGCGGGCUGCAACUCGCCCGCAUGAAGCUGGAAUCCCUAGUACCCGCGUUCAU
Molecule: ribosomal RNA, 730 nt
Filed under: uncultured archaeon
Lineage: Archaea
Description: bacterial SSU rRNA
Rfam family: Archaeal small subunit ribosomal RNA
Source: RNAcentral